UACGUAGGGUGCGAGCGUUAAUCGGAAUUACUGGGCGUAAAGCGUGCGCAGGCGGCUUCUCAAGUCAGGUGUGAAAUCCCCGGGCUCAACCUGGGAAUUGCGCUUGAAACUGGGUAGCUAGAGUGCGGCAGAGGGAGGUGGAAUUCCACGUGUAGCAGUGAAAUGCGUAGAGAUGUGGAGGAACACCGAUGGCGAAGGCAGCCUCCUGGGCUGACACUGACGCUCAUGCACGAAAGCGUGGGGAGCAAACAGG
This 253-nucleotide ribosomal RNA is filed under the name uncultured bacterium. RNAcentral describes it as "partial 16S ribosomal RNA". It matches the Rfam family "Bacterial small subunit ribosomal RNA", at positions 524 to 776 of the family's 1533-position model. The record is from RNAcentral.